This 3195-nucleotide unclassified non-coding RNA is filed under the name Dimorphilus gyrociliatus. RNAcentral's name for it is "dgyrCDS9242". The record is from RNAcentral. Lineage: Eukaryota; Metazoa; Annelida; Polychaeta; Dinophilidae.
AAUCAGCUUGCCGCUUAUAAAUUGAGUAUUGAACGAACUCGGUUGCACUUGAGAAAGGUGUAUUAUCGGCAACUUUUUGAUCUGUGAAACAGAAUUUUGUGUCGAAGAAUGGCCAACCCAAGGGAAUCCAUGUUGUUGACAGAAGAUAAGUUGGAAGAAUUAAGAAACGCCUUUCAGACGAUCGAUUUAGAUGGAAGUGGCCAUAUAACAGUAAUGGAACUAGGUGAUGCAUUGAAAGUUUGUGGUUUUACUUUACCUGGCCAUGAAAUUCGCGAUCUAAUACAAAGAUAUGAUACAAAUAUCAAAGACGGAAAAAUAGAUUUUAUGGAAUUUCAACAGGUAUAAUAUUUAAACUAGUUUCUAUUAAUGCUUUUAUAUAUUUAUAUGUCGGGGCAAAUUCAAUUCUUUAUCAAGAUUAAACUUUCUAAAUAUUCAUAAGAUUAAAUUUGUAAUUUAAGUCUUAUCAGAGAACUACGUCUCAAUUUUAACUGUUCCAUAAUACGAGAGAAAAAUUUUGAUAAAGUACUGAAUUUUGGCAAACUACAGGCAUAAGCUUAUUUCUCUUUUUACUUUCUAUUAUUUAAUAUUUUAGUAUAUUAUAUGCUACCUUUCAUAAACAAGGAAGUAACAUUAUGGAGCCGCAACUGAAAGUAGAAAGUGAAUAGAAUUAGAAAAUUAUUAUAAAAAGAUUAUAAACAUAAAAAACAUUAUAAACUCUCGUUUCAUCUUUAAAAAUUAUAACAAAAAUAAGAUGGAUUCAGGUAGAUUUGUUUUAAAAAAAAAUCCCCUCCUCCUUUAAAAAAAAAAUAUAUCCAAUAUUUUUAAUGCUCUAUUGUUACCCUUAAAAUGUGAAUAGUCGUUGAUUUCAACUACUAGUGUUUACUUGUGUGUGUGUUUGUGUUUGUUUGUCUUUCUUUUUUUUGUUUUGUAAUAUUUUCAACUAAAAAGAAAAAGAGUAAAAAAUAUCUUCUAAUAGCACGGACAAUUUGAUGUGUAUUUUAUUCCUUUAUUUACUGUCACAAAUAGAGAUAGUUACGGAAGUAAUUGUAUUUUUUGCCCCCUUUUCACUUUUCUCCUUUUUUAUUUGUUUAUUUAUUUCAAAACAAAAUGAUAUCGAUUGAACUCUUUAGGUUUGUAUUUUAGUCUAAUACAAAAGUAUAAAAUUGAACUAAUGAAUGUUUAAUUUUAGAAUGAGAUUUCUUUUACUAUAUAUAUUUAUAUUUAUACGCGUAAAUACCUUAUAAAUAUUUGCUUUUUGAUAUGACAGCUAUAUGGUGAUGUUAAAGCCAAGUACGAUAUUGGCCACACCUACAAGAAAAACGUUGCUAAAGCUACUAACGUUGUCACCCAUGGAGGUACGUCAAUGGCAUCAUCGGUGGGAACCACUCAUACUGUGAAAAUAGAAGAACAAAUGGCCUUUUCCAAAUGGAUCAAUAGCAACCUAGCUUCUGAUGGCGAUUGUCGAAAUAUAUUACCGUUGAAUGCCGAAGGAAAUGAUCUUUAUCAUAAGUGCAGUGAUGGGAUUUUAUUAUGCAAAUUAAUUAAUAAAGCUCAGCCAGGCACUAUUGAUGAAAGGGUAAUGAAUAAGGGAGCUAAAUUAUCGCUUUUCUCUAAAAUGGAAAAUUUAACAUUGGCUCUUAAAUCUGCACAAUCAAUUGGAUGCAACAUUGUGAAUAUUGGUUCGGAUGAUUUACAUAAGGGUGCUCCUCAUCUGGUUUUAGGCCUUUUAUGGCAAAUUAUCAGAAUUGGUUUAUUGGCUGAUAUCAAUUUACACGACAAUCCUGGACUUAUACAUUUAUUGAAUGAAGGUGAAACAAUCGAGGAAUUAAUGAGACUAUCACCAGAGGAAAUAUUAAUUCGAUGGGUUAAUUAUCAUUUGGCUAAUUCCGACGCUAACCGAGCAAAUGAGAAUGUCCGCAUAAACAACUUUGGAAGGGAUAUUGAAAAUUCUAUUGCCUAUUACUAUUUGAUUCAGCAAAUUGCACCAGCCGAUACCAGAAUUGAUAUUUCUGGUAAAUCAGAUGGAAAUUUAGAGCAUAGAGCGGAAAACAUGUUACAGCAAGCCGAGAGAAUCAAUUGUAGAGCUUUCGUUCGUCCCUUGGACGUAGUAAAGGGAAACACAAAAUUGAAUAUGGCUUUUGUUGCAAAUUUAUUCAACAAUCAUCCAGCCCUGGAUAAGGUCACUGAUAACGACCUCCUCGAGCAAAUUGUCGACGAAACUAGGGAGGAGAAGAUGUAUCGUAAUUGGAUGAAUUCCUUGGGCGUUCGUCCCUUUGUUAAUCAUCUUUAUUCCGAUUUGAAGGACGCUCUUGUAUAUUUUCAACUUUUUGAAAAGAUAAAGCCCGGUUCAGUCGACUAUAGUCGUAUUCCAAGUAAUUUCAGUAAGCUAAAACAAAAGAGAAUGAUUGAAGAACUACAAAAUUGUAAUUAUGCCGUCGAAUUGGGAAAGCAAUUUAGAUUUUCAUUAGUUGGAAUAGACGGUAGUAAUCUAGCUCACGCUUCCGAGCAUAAGAGCUAUGCUCUUUCUCUAAUUUGGCAACUAAUGAAAGCUUAUACGCUAAGCGUGUUAUCUAAAUUAAGUGGUACUGAUAAACCGCUGGCAGAGAGCGCUAUAGUUAGUUGGGCCAACCAAAAAUUAUCCAAAAAAGGCAAGACUUUCUCCGGUUUCGGUGACCAGAGAUUAAGCGACGGAGUUAUUGUUAUCGACGUGAUUGAUUCUAUCCAGUCAAACAUAGUCAACUACAGUCUAGUAAAGCAAGGUUCUGGUGAGGAGGAAAAAACAAGCAAUGCUAAAUUAGCUAUUUCUUGGGCAAGAAAAAUGGGUGCUGGCGUCUAUGCUCUACCGGAAGAUAUAGUAGAAGUUAAACAAAAGAUGGUUAUGACCAUAUUCGCAUGUCUAAUGGCUGCCGAAUUAGAGAAUGAACAGAAAAAAUCUACACAGUCUUAAAAACGAUCAUUUUUUUUUUAUCUGAUUUCAUCUUUUAUUUUUGUUUAUAUAUUUUUAUUUCUUAUAUUUUUCCGCUUUUUAAAAACUUUAAUAAUUAGUUACUUAAAUGGAAUAAUUAAGUAAGCAAGUUAAUAUGGCUGUUACAGCCACAAGUUGUACCUUUGAGAGAAAAUUUUACAUAAUCUAAAAUAUUUUUUCCACUAAUAAUCACGUACAGUUUGGAUUAUUACAACGUUCUUUCGUAUCUC